GACGAACGCUGGCGGCGUGCUUAACACAUGCAAGUCGAACGGAAAGGCCCUGCUUUUGUGGGGUGCUCGAGUGGCGAACGGGUGAGUAACACGUGAGUAACCUGCCCUUGACUUUGGGAUAACUUCAGGAAACUGGGGCUAAUACCGGAUAGGAGUUCCUGCUGCAUGGUGGGGGUUGGAAAGUUUCGGCGGUUGGGGAUGGACUCGCGGCUUAUCAGCUUGUUGGUGGGGUAGUGGCUUACCAAGGCCUUGACGGGUAGCCGGCCUGAGAGGGUGACCGGCCACAUUGGGACUGGGAUACGGCCCAGACUCCUACGGGAGGCAGCAGUGGGGAAUAUUGCACGAUGGGCGGAAGCCUGAUGCAGCAACGCCGCGUGCGAGAUGACGGCCUUCGGGUUGUAAACCGCUUUAGCCUGUGACGAAGCGUGAGUGACGGUAAUGGGUAAAGAAGCACCGGCUAACUACGUG
This 468-nucleotide ribosomal RNA is filed under the name uncultured bacterium. Its description in RNAcentral is "partial 16S ribosomal RNA". It matches the Rfam family "Bacterial small subunit ribosomal RNA", at positions 28 to 507 of the family's 1533-position model. The record is from RNAcentral.